Helianthus annuus (common sunflower) is the source of this 3090-nucleotide long non-coding RNA. RefSeq lists it as uncharacterized. NCBI's taxonomy places the organism in Eukaryota, Viridiplantae, Streptophyta, Magnoliopsida, Asterales, Asteraceae. The record is from RefSeq and is a predicted model, not a curated record. The transcript has 10 exons.
AAUUAUUUGCUUUCAGUUUCUCUCUUCCCUCUCUCUCAAAACCCUAGCUCAAACGAGUGCAAGUUCCGUUCUUCAUUCUCAUAUUCAUCAACCGCCACUCUUCUUCCCACAUUCGACGGCACCACAUCUACCUUCUGAUGAUUAUUUUCAAGUAGAUUAAUCCAUUUCUUAUUUGUUCCUCAUUCAAUUAGACUUCAUUUGUUCGCAACCUUCUGCCAGUCUGGGUUUUAGAUUACUCACCGGUGCCGAAAUUGCAGAAAUCGGAGGAAUCAGAGAGUUUUGAGGAAUUUUGGGGUUUCGCCACUACUCAAUUUGCUUCUUUUGCUUCGACGAGCGGUAUAUUCUAACUCGCACUGGUAUAUUAAGGGAAAACUCCCACGUUCUUUGUCAUGCCAGUGAAAAGAAAAUGGAGGAGCAAGUAGAAGAAUUAUGCUGUAAAAGACCGCUUUUGAUGAAAAGAAAGGAGGUAUAGUGACCAUGCCUUUCAUCAUAGGUAUGGUACCAACAUUGCAAUCACAUGGUGUUGAAAGUUGUUUUAAAACACCAGGCUCUGAUUUGGUCGGUGCAACCUAAUUUCAUUUCAAAUUUCAAAAGCUUCCCUUGUGCUCCCUCACUAUUCUCUUUCACGACUACAAUUAAGGUGAACACGAAGAAGCAACUGAUAACGAUUAGCGGGCGUUUGAAGGUAUCCAAAAGUGGUUGUAAGUGAGUACGAGGAUGUGCUUGGUAAGACGACGCGACGGUGGUGUGCUGAGGACCUAACUGUCGCCUCCAACAAGGAAUGAGUGGCUGGGGUUUGUGUAGAGCCAGGUCAAAGUCGAGGUCAAGGCCAAGGUCAGCCAACGUGAUACAUUCAGAUUUCAAAAGAAAAUGACGACAGGUGACGGUGAUCGGUCUACAGGGUUGAAGCAUGGCCCCAACCAUCUUCCUACCGAUAUACAUGGAUUCCCUGGGAUACUCCUUGAAUGCAAAAUUCUGACAGUUUCGGAUGCCCAGCAGCGUCUUAAGAGUCUUAGAGAGAAGUUGACACCCAAGGAGUAUCUCGAGUUUCUUGAUAUCAUGAAGGACUUCAGGGAGGGCAGGCUUGACAUGUUGGGAGUCAGAGAAAAGGUUAUAAAACUAUGCGAAACUCAUCAAGAACUGUUUCCGCUUUUCAACAUCUAUCUUCCAGAGAGAGAAAAAAUCACAUUCCCACAAGCGCAGAUGAUGUUAAAAAGGCACCCAAGUUUGACAUUGGUAAACUGAUGGAGGCUAAGCACAAAUUGAUAAAAGUUCCGGCAUCUCAAGUGAAAUUAAUGUCUCCCAUUUGAUGAGGAUAAUACAUAGACCACACCGACAUGAAUGUUCCUGAAGGGAUAGCUAAGCUUCCUAAUCUUGAAUCACUUAUUAUUUGGGAUAACUUCUUUAGUGGCACACUGCCACAAGAAUUGGGUACAUUUUAAAACUUUAUAAUGAGGGUUGAUUCCAAGCUAUUUUAGGUUGAUUCCAGCCUUAAUUUGGACUUUGUUUUACAUUUUAGCUAGAAAAUGCCCUGAAGCAGGCCUAAGAGUUCGAAAGCUCGCCAUUCAGGGCGCAAUGCAAAUGCGUUGGGCUGCGUCUGGGCGCCUAGACACGCACCUAGGGGGCUUUUGACAGAUUAGCUGUAGAUGUUGUUUUCGACCUUUCAGGCUCUUUUCUACUGUUUUGUGUGUGUUGAGCUGCUGUAUUUUCAAGAUAAGCUUUACUUUGUCUGCAAUCAUUGAAGACACUAAGAUUUUAAUGGAACUCAGAGAAAAUUUUGACCAAAAAAUACAGUUGUCAUCAAGUCAAUAUUACCAUCCUAUUCACUUGGGAUCGAUUUGGGGGCUAUUAGAUGGUUUUAUUUUCUGUUUAUUAUGCUAGGCAUAUCUACUCAUCUAUGAGGUUCAUUGCAUUACUCUGAUUUUUUGUAGAAUUUGUUUCGUACCUGUUGUCUGUUGUAUACUUGCACCUCCUAGAGGACAUGUGAUGAGCAAAUUAAGCAUAUGAUUUGUUAGACUUGCAUCUCUUCGUGAACAUGAUCGGUGAUAGGAGUUCUUGGAGACAGGAUAAAGGUUAGUUUUUUUAGGAUAUAGGUUAUUCAUAUUUGUUUGUUCGCUGUCUUUUGUAAGUAUUAAGGUUUCUGAUUUUUAGUUUCAUCUGAAUCGUUGGUGGUCAAAAUUUAUUUAAUCGUCAAAGUCAACUAAGUAAAGGGGUUUAGUAUAUGUAAAUUUUUGAACAAUAUGCUUUUUAAACUAAUAUAUAGGAAUGCUCAGCAACGAAAUUGAAAUGGAGCUGCUGAUUUAGUAGAAAUUGAUGUGCAGGCAGAGGCACAUGUAAAUUAUACUUGAUAGUGAAUCUCUGCACGAUAAGAAUUGUGUAUGAAUUUAUUCUCUAAAGCUAUCUAUCUAUGUGAAUCUGAGGUGAACAUAUUGUGUAUGAUUUGCGGAUCGAUAUGUUCAUUAUUUCUAACUCAAAAGGCUUGAAAGAAAUAGUGAUGUGGAUUAAGAAAUAGAGGGGGAUAAUGGAUUGGCAAAGCAACUACGCGCAUCGCUGAAAUGCUUUGAUGUGUCAUUAUUUCUGCUCAUUGUGAAAUAACCAAAACCCCAUAAUAGAGGGAGGGCCCAAUGGGCCCUAAAACACUUUGUAAUGCAUGUGGGGUCCGGUACCGGUCCGGGCGGCUGUACCCUGAGUACCGCCCGGCUGCAAGUACGACUUUUGUUCCGGCUCUGCACUCGAAUUCUCAUAGGAAGGUGAUAGAGAUGAGGCAAAAGGCGGUUGAGUAAGCAUGCAUGCGUUUAAAAGGAAGCAGGUAAGAGGGUUUUUGUGUUUGAUUUAUUAUGUUUGAAAAUUGUGAGUCAUAUGGUGGAUCUUGAUGAUGUUUGUGUACAAAGAUGAAAGGAAAACAAUUAAGGACCCGUUUGAUGGUGAUUAGUUCUUAGGGUUUAAAUUUAGCAUAAUAUGUUUGGAGGUCAAGUAGGUUACAAUUUUGAGUUAGUAGGAGUAGUAGCUCAUGUGAGAUGUAAAGUAUAUUUGACUAUUGACAUCUAUGUUUUUUAGUUCCUGAAGACAUUAUUGUCUUCAUUCUCAGUU